Long non-coding RNA from Gossypium arboreum, 3769 nucleotides. RefSeq lists it as uncharacterized. The transcript is spliced from 3 exons. The record is from RefSeq and is a predicted model, not a curated record. Lineage: Eukaryota; Viridiplantae; Streptophyta; Magnoliopsida; Malvales; Malvaceae.
UAAACAUAACAUUUAUUUUUUUUUAAAAAAAAUUAAAGAUUUAGAAAACCCAAAACCUUUUUUCAAGACCCCUUUUUCUUUAAAAACAUUUUACCCUUUUUUUUUUUAAAAAAAAAAACCCUAAAAUUCUCUCUUCUCCCUCACUUCCUAGCCGAAGGACUAAAACCCAGAUCUCAUUCGCUGCCUCAUGCGCGGCCGUAAAUAGCCAUCGGAAGGCCGAAGUUUUCCCUCUUUUGCCAGCGACUCGAAAGAUACGUCUCUCCCUUUUAUAAAAUAUUAGUUUGUAUUUCGUAGACUCAAAUGAAAAUGGAAAAAAAAAGAAAAACGGAAUAAAAUAAUGAUUAACAACCACCUUUUGAAGUGUAUUCGUUUGGCUGAUCUCUUAUUGAUUUUUCUAUGUAUAUUUUUUAUUAAAAAAUUGUCCCUUUUACAAUGAAAAACGAAGGCUUUAUAGCCAAAAUACAAACAGUUUCUGCCUAUUUCUUUGCUCAAGUCGCAAGUGCUGUGAAAUCGUGGAGGAAGAGUGCAUGAUCGUGCAACGUGCGAGCUAAGAACCCGUUCGUGGGUGUUGAAGCGUGGGAGUUGCGGAGUAGGUAAAUGGAACCCUAGGGUUUGCUAUUUUUUGAAAAAAUUUGGGUCAUUGGGCUUGUAAUCGGGCCUUUUAAUUUUAGUGAUUUGAGUCUGUAUCUUGGGCCGGGCAAAAUUUGGGCCCUACACACAAAUUUGUUGAAACUUGUCAUCGUUACAAGUUAGCGAGUAAUGAAUCAAUUGACCUUCGUUUUAUCAUUUUCAUUGUCUAAAGCAUUAAGGACGAAAUUAUAUUAGUUUUUUUAAUUGAUAAUUUAAAUUUAGUUUAUAAACAAUUUAUUUUGGAAUUUGCACAAAUAAUUUUCGACUUUAUUAGAUUAGUAAUUGCUUAACUUGCAAUUAACUUGAUAAGCACAUUUACCAAUUUGGCAAUCCCUUGGGUUCGAUCUUUGGAAUACUUGAAGUGUUUUAUUGUAACACUUAUAAAUAUUACAAAUGAUCUGUCACACUUGUAGUAAGCUUGUAAAUGUUAUGUUUUGGCUCGAAGCUAGGUACAAUGAUGGAUCGAGUUAAGAAUUAGUGGAGAAUUUUUUAAAUAGAACAAAUAGAAAAUUUAAGUGUGAAAUUAGAAAGUAUUUAGACUCGAUAGGGAAUUAGAUAAUACUCCUUAGAUAGGAAAAUUUUGAAUAGAAGCAUUGACUAAAUUGAAAGAGUAUAGAAAUUAUUGUGGUGAAAGUAUGAAAUUAGAAAGUUAUGAGAAAACAUGAAAAAUGUGGAAAAACAAGGAAGGACUAAUAGGAAAUUUUACCAAACAAAAAUAUGAUUCAUACAUAGAAUUGUAAAGAUGAUUAAAGGUAAAAUGGUAAUUGGCUAAGUAGAUAUUUAUAGGCCUAAUGAUUAGGGGUUAAAGUGUAAAGAUGGAUAGUUAGAGGACUUAUUAGUAAUUCGACAAUUUUAAGUGAAAAUCAUUUAAUUUUUUUUGCAGAACUGUGUAGAAAAAGUGAAGAAAAGAUGAAAUAUUCUUCAUCUUUUUAGAAUUCAAAUGUCACAUCCAUUUUAUGGUUACCAAACUUUCUUUUUUAUUCUAUUUAAGUCCUUCCACCGUUGUUGACCAAAUCUAAGCUCAAAAUAUUCCUUUCCUUUGGUGUUUCUUUAGUAAAAACAAUAGAGAAGACUAGUGGGUACCUUAGUUUUAGGAAAGGAAUCUACAUAGAAGUGAUAAAGGAGAGAAAAAGUAAGAAUUAGGUUUUCAAUUUCAAAGGGUUAAGGUAAGAGAUGAUGAAACUUUCAUGCCAUACGUGUUUAUUUCUAUUAAAUAACAUAGAAAAAUUACUUGAUUAUGGUGCCCACUUUUCAGAUUAGCAUUAUGGUGCCCACUGUUCUAUUAUCACACUUCGGUGCACCAUUGUUAUGUUCUUCAGUGCAAUUUUACAUUUAUUUUGUAUGUCCUAAUUUGUUCUGUUAAGCCUACAUUGGGCAAGGAUAAAAAAUGUGGUCUACAAUAGUAGCUUUGCAUAAUAAGGUAAGUAUUGAAAUUAAAAAGAGGUGAUUAUUGUUAAUUAUAAGUAUAAAUUAUUGUAUAGAAGUGUAAUAUAGGUCUGUUAUUGAAAUUUGGAAAUUUUAUUGUUUAAAGAUUUCUUGUAGUACUAAGUCUUCACAGACAUAAUGCAUUUAUUUUCAACACGUAGGUAUAGUGGCAUCCGAUGAGUCGUAGUUGAGGUCCUAGGCUUCUCAUCUCAUCGCAUCCUUUAGUUCCAAGAGAGUAUGUAUUAUAUUUUGAGUUAGAAUUACAUGUACAUAGGUAAACUGAAUGUGUUCCAAGUGGUAGGGACUAAAUUGCAAACUUUUAAGAACUUAACUUAUUUUGGUAUUUUAAUGAACUACUUUUGUAUUAGUUGAAAUGAAUUGUGAAGAGUUUAAAUGUAUGCAUGCAUAUGUGGUUGAAUUAGAAUUGUUUUAAAUCGAUUUAAACUGCUUUGGAAUUGGUUUUUAAGUUUGAAAUGGUACAAACUAUUUGCAGGGGGUUUUAAACAAAAUUUCCAAAUGUUUUUGAGCAAAAUUGACCCAAGGUAUCAAUACCAAGGAUCUGGUAUUGAUACUUGGUGUUUGGAAUUGAGUUUUUCAGAAACAGAAUGCCAAUUUGGUAUCGGUGCCCAAGCCAAGAUAUUGAUACAUUGGCAAUAGGUAUCGAUACCUACAUGAAAUUUUUGAAAAAGUUGAGUUCUAGAAUCCGAUUUUGGUAUCAAUACUUAUUAGGGGUACAAAUACCUUGUUAUAGGUAUCAAUACCUUUGAUUUUGGUACAGAUGCUUGCCCUUUAUUUUGAAUAAAAAAUUUAUUCUAUUUACUUCUAAGCAAAAUCGGUUAACUGACAAAGUUUCCAAACAUCGAUAAUGAUAUUAAUAAGUUGUAAAGGCUAAAAUUUAGUCAUAAAAUAUUCAAGUUACCUAGUGUUUAGCCAAGAGCGUUUUGGCACCAAAUGUAAUAGUUCUAUACUGGGUCCCGAAGGUCAGAUUUGGUAUAGGGGUGUUACAAAGCCACUUUUAAAUUCUUAAAUUGUGUGUUGAUUCUUAGCCCUAGUGCAUGCACGUCGGCGCACGACCAACUCAUCACUCAAGAUUUCAAUCACAUUAUUGGUGUUAUCACUAGAUGAGUUGUGUGAGUUUGUCUCGAGAGUUCAUCUUUAUCGACCACGAGGUUAACAAUUAAGUUUUGUAUGUUGCACGAGAUAACCAUCCACAAUUGGUGGCCGACAAUUUAUAAAUCCUCUGUUAACAAGCCACUAGCUCGACUUCUCUAUAUAGUGGGCCAAGGGGUGCGUUUCAACCUUGGGGACUUUAUCUUUAAGCAAGUGGUAACAUGCUGAGUCCGUGUUGAACCGAUUUUGGAGCACAAAAUCUCCAGCAGACUGUUUAAACCAAGUCGAAUGAAUGACUUGGUACUAAGAGAGUUUAUUCCACCCUCUGUUGCAAUAGGAGAAGCUAGUGGAACUCAAAGUGCUAUCGCGACUCAAAAGGCAAGGACUUGGAGCAUUCGACAUGGUAAAAGGGGGAGGUUCGACAUUUUGUCAAAAAGGGGAAGAGAGUCUGGUUCUUGAUGAUAGCUAUUGGUUACUCGUGUGUUUGAAUGCUACUGUUGUGGAUAAAGACUGGAUGUUUUUUAUUUGAACUUUAUAGCGUAUGCAAUUGUUGGAUUUUGCUACUUUUGAAUUUGUUUUAAUACUUGGAAUUGUUGUGUUGAAA